This 253-nucleotide ribosomal RNA is filed under the name uncultured bacterium. Its description in RNAcentral is "partial 16S ribosomal RNA". It matches the Rfam family "Bacterial small subunit ribosomal RNA", at positions 524 to 776 of the family's 1533-position model. The record is from RNAcentral.
UACGUAGGGACCAAGCGUUGUUCGGAUUUACUGGGCUUAAAGGGUUUGUAGGCGGCCUUGUAAGUCAGGUGUGAAAUCCCUCGGCUCAACCGAGGAAUAGCGCUUGAUACUGCAAGGCUUGAGGGAGACAGGGGUAAGCGGAACUGAUGGUGGAGCGGUGAAAUGCGUUGAUAUCAUCAGGAACACCGGUGGCGAAAGCGGCUUACUGGGUCUCUUCUGACGCUGAGGAACGAAAGCUAGGGGAGCGAACGGG